Molecule: non-coding RNA, 686 nt
Organism: Tupaia belangeri chinensis (Chinese tree shrew)
Lineage: Eukaryota; Metazoa; Chordata; Mammalia; Scandentia; Tupaiidae
Source: the annotation of a RefSeq genome assembly
UUCCUUUACAAGAGCAGACGUCCUCCUCACAGGAUUAGAGAAUCUGGAUCAAGAGUUUGUUCAGCAGAGAACAUACACAUAUCAGAAGCACUAGGUUCACUGAGGAAAAGCCUUUUCUAAAAGCCCUGUGCUGACACAGGGGUGCUGGUUCCUCUCUAAGAGUCUAGCAUCUGGGGUGGAGGCAUUCUCUAACUGCAGUGAGCUGGAAAGACGCUCCCAAUCAAGCUCAUCCAUGGCCUCUCGAUGCAUCUGGAUGCUUGUGAUUUCCUUCACAUUGCGUGGACUGAGAGCUCAGUCUGUGAAUCAGCCAGAAGAUCAGGUGAAUGUUGCAGAAGGGGAUCCUCUAACUUUGAGAUGUACUUAUUCAGUUUCUUGGAAUCCUUCUCUCUUUUGGUAUGUCCAAUAUCCCAACCAAGGCCUCCAGUUUCUUCUAAAAUAUGUCACAGGGGACAGCCUGGUGAAAGGCAGCUACGGUUUUGAGGCUGAAUUUAAUAAGAGCCAAACUUCUUUCCACCUGAAGAAACCAUCUGCCCUUUGGAGUGACUCUGCUCUGUACUUCUGUGCUGUGAGUGACACAGUAAUGGAGGCUGCAGGGGAAGCUGAACACAAACCCUGAGGGUAGUCAAACCUCCACAAGAGGGUGGUGUGGUCUCAGGAUAUGUCAUUCAAUAUAAUAAAAUUGAUAA